AAUAAUGUUCUCUUUUUAGGUGCUUCUUUCAAUAGAAGAUAAUAGGGAAUCAGGUGUAAUUCCUGAACGGGUCCGCCACUGUUAAACAGUAAUCAACUAAAACCACUCAAUUAUUAUUGGGGAAGGUUAGCUGCUAAAGCUGUAAAGUCAGGAGACCUGCCUAAAAAGAUAACAGCCA
RNAcentral lists this non-coding RNA (178 nucleotides) under Halanaerobium praevalens. Lineage: Bacteria; Bacillati; Bacillota; Clostridia; Halanaerobiales; Halanaerobiaceae. RNAcentral also lists the same sequence under 1 other name. The record is from RNAcentral.